Molecule: long non-coding RNA, 666 nt
Filed under: Anas platyrhynchos platyrhynchos (common mallard)
Lineage: Eukaryota; Metazoa; Chordata; Aves; Anseriformes; Anatidae
Description: lncRNA (ENSAPLG00000019393.1)
Source: RNAcentral
AUCAAGGUCUUGGUGCAUUGAGUUGCGCGGCGGGCGCCCGGCCCACCCCCCUCCAUCGUGCCCCGGCACCGCUCAGGGUGGGCGCCCGCGCUCUCGGCAGCCGGGGUUCGGUGCUGCCGGGGGACGGCCCGGCUUCGGGGCGGUGACAUCAGGGUGAGGGGGGCCGCUGGGGGGUGGGCUCGGGCAACUGGAGAGCGGUGCUUGGUCGGCAGGAUGAUGGCGUGGCCAACUGGAUGUUGGCUGGUGGGGGCGGCCAACUGGGACGCUGUGGUUGGCCAUCAGUUGAUGGGUUUGGCCAACAGAACAUUGGGCGAUGGAUUUGGCCAAGUGGGAUGCUGUGGUUGGCCAUCAAUUGAAGGGUUUGGCCAACUGGAACAUUGGGCAAUGGAUUUGGCCAACUGGAAGGCUGUGGUUGGCCAUCGGUUGAUGGAUUUGGCCAAUGGAACAUUGUCCAAUGGGUUUGACCAAUUGAAACGCCAUCGUUUGUCACUGGUUGAUGGGUUUGGCCAACUGGAACACUGUGGUUGGUCAUCGACUGAUGGAUUGGGCCAACUGGAACACCAUCAUUCGUCAUUGGUUGAAGGAUUUGGCCAACUGGGACGCUGUGGUUGGUCAUCGGUUGAUGGGUUUGGCCAACGGAACAUUGGGCGAUGGAUUUGGCCAACU